AUAACGGGUAACGCCCGCCGAAGGCGACUUCAGGAAAAGUGCAACAGAGAUAUACCGCCUCCGUUGGAGGUAAGGGUGGAAAGGCGAGGUAAGAGCUCACCCAUCGGCUCGAGAGUGUCCGAUGCUGUAAACUCUAUCCGGAGCAACACCGGUAUGGGAGCAAUAGGGCGGCCCGUCCGCUCCCGAGGUGGCUGAAGCGCACCGGCAACGGCGCGCUUAGAUAGAUGACUGUCAAAUACAGAACCCGGCUUACAGACUUGCUCGCGCA
This 268-nucleotide RNase P RNA is filed under the name Oscillibacter sp. Its description in RNAcentral is "partial RNase P RNA component class A". It matches the Rfam family "Bacterial RNase P class A", at positions 71 to 367 of the family's 367-position model. From Rfam's summary of the family: Ribonuclease P (RNase P) is a ubiquitous endoribonuclease, found in archaea, bacteria and eukarya as well as chloroplasts and mitochondria. Its best characterised activity is the generation of mature 5'-ends of tRNAs by cleaving the 5'-leader elements of precursor-tRNAs. Lineage: Bacteria; Bacillati; Bacillota; Clostridia; Eubacteriales; Oscillospiraceae. The record is from RNAcentral.